UACGGGGGGGGCAAGCGUUGUUCGGAAUUACUGGGCGUAAAGGGCUCGUAGGCGGCCAACUAAGUCAGACGUGAAAUCCCCAGGCUCAACCUGGGAACUGCGUCUGAUACUGGAUGGCUUGAAUCCGGGAGAGGGAUGCAGAAUUCCAGGUGUAGCGGUGAAAUGCGCAGAUAUCGGGAAGAACACCCGUGGCGAAGGCGGUUCUCUGGGACGGUACUGACGCUGAGACGCAAAAGCGUGGGGAGCGAACAGG
This 253-nucleotide ribosomal RNA is filed under the name uncultured bacterium. Its description in RNAcentral is "partial 16S ribosomal RNA". It matches the Rfam family "Bacterial small subunit ribosomal RNA", at positions 524 to 776 of the family's 1533-position model. The record is from RNAcentral.